GUCCACGCCGUAAACGAUGGGUACUAGGCGUCGGGGGGAGCGACCCUCCCGGUGCCGUCGCUAACGCAGUAAGUACCCCGCCUGGGGAGUACGGUCGCAAGACUGAAACUCAAAGGAAUUGACGGGGGCCCGCACAAGCGGUGGAGCAUGUGGUUUAAUUCGAAGCAACGCGAAGAACCUUACCUGGGCUUGACAUGCACGGGAAAGCCGGUGGAAACAUCGGUCCCUCUUCGGAGUCCGUGCACAGGUGCUGCAUGGCUGUCGU
This 265-nucleotide ribosomal RNA is filed under the name uncultured bacterium. RNAcentral describes it as "partial 16S ribosomal RNA". It matches the Rfam family "Bacterial small subunit ribosomal RNA", at positions 793 to 1055 of the family's 1533-position model. The record is from RNAcentral.